Molecule: ribosomal RNA, 714 nt
Filed under: uncultured Enterobacterales bacterium
Lineage: Bacteria; Pseudomonadati; Pseudomonadota; Gammaproteobacteria; Enterobacterales
Description: bacterial SSU rRNA
Rfam family: Bacterial small subunit ribosomal RNA
Source: RNAcentral
UCGAGCGGUAGCACAGGUGAGCUUGCUCCCCGGGUGACGAGCGGCGGACGGGUGAGUAAUGUCUGGGAAACUGCCUGAUGGAGGGGGAUAACUACUGGAAACGGUAGCUAAUACCGCAUAACGUCGCAAGACCAAAGAGGGGGACCUUCGGGCCUCUUGCCAUCAGAUGUGCCCAGAUGGGAUUAGCUAGUAGGUGGGGUAAUGGCUCACCUAGGCGACGAUCCCUAGCUGGUCUGAGAGGAUGACCAGCCACACUGGAACUGAGACACGGUCCAGACUCCUACGGGAGGCAGCAGUGGGGAAUAUUGCACAAUGGGCGCAAGCCUGAUGCAGCCAUGCCGCGUGUAUGAAGAAGGCCUUCGGGUUGUAAAGCACUUUCAGCGAGGAGGAAGGUGGUGAACUUAAUACGUUCAUCAAUUGACGUUACUCGCAGAAGAAGCACCGGCUAACUCCGUGCCAGCAGCCGCGGUAAUACGGAGGGUGCAAGCGUUAAUCGGAAUUACUGGGCGUAAAGCGCACGCAGGCGGUUUGUUAAGUCAGAUGUGAAAUCCCCGGGCUCAACCUGGGAACUGCAUUCGAAACCGGCAGGCUAGAGUCUUGUAGAGGGGGGUAGAAUUCCAGGUGUAGCGGUGAAAUGCGUAGAGAUCUGGAGGAAUACCGGUGGCGAAGGCGGCCUCCUGGACAAAGACUGACGCUCAGGUGCGAAAGCGUGGG